CUCCAGGUAUUUCAGGGUUAGUGUAAUGAAGUGUUAUUAUUCCCAUUUUUACACACGGUGACGAGAGGCAGGGAAGGCCGAAUGACUCGUACCUUAGGUUACCAGGAGGACUAUGACAGAGUAACGAUAGAAUCCAGGUAUUCCCAGUGCCGACAACACAAGUACUCACACAUCACUUGGAGUCACUUGCAUCGCUGCCCUGGUCUAAACAGACACGGUCACUGCUGCCACAACACAAUUUGCACUGAUAAAAGCUGUUCUUGCACUAGGGUGGUACCUGGCCAGACCGGCCAAAGCAGCAGCCCCAGCACCAUAGGUGACGUCCCUCCUCUCAAACUUUCCUGGAUGGUGACUCCCCGCCCGGUGGUAGGGAGGCUGGAGCAUGGACUGGAAGUAUUGUUGGAGUCACUGGGAGAAAAAUGAUGGGACAGCCAACAGUAUUGCCCUCCUUGCAAAAAACUGUACACACAAUAGGUUUGGGGAAAGCAAACAGGAGGGAAGGUCCACCCGACGUCCCCUAGCACUAAGGGAUGUGAUAUAGAGAACUAUGUAUUCACGGUCCAUGACAUAAAUUGCUUGCUGUUGUUGU
Molecule: long non-coding RNA, 589 nt
Organism: Cygnus olor (mute swan)
Lineage: Eukaryota; Metazoa; Chordata; Aves; Anseriformes; Anatidae
Exons: 2
Source: RefSeq, a predicted model, not a curated record